GGUUUCGUGGUGUAGUUGGUUAUCACGUCAGUCUAACACACUGAAGGUCUCCGGGUUCAAGUCCGGGCGAAAUCA
This 75-nucleotide transfer RNA is filed under the name Colletotrichum fructicola Nara gc5. Its description in RNAcentral is "tRNA-Val for anticodon AAC". It matches the Rfam family "tRNA". Rfam says of the family: Transfer RNA (tRNA) molecules are approximately 80 nucleotides in length. Their secondary structure includes four short double-helical elements and three loops (D, anti-codon, and T loops). Lineage: Eukaryota; Fungi; Ascomycota; Sordariomycetes; Glomerellales; Glomerellaceae. The record is from RNAcentral.